AGAUUGAACGCUGGCGGCAGGCCUAACACAUGCAAGUCGAACGGACCCUUCGGGGUUAGUGGCGGACGGGGUGAGUAACACGUGGGAACGUGCCUUUUUGGUUCGGAAUAGCUCCUGGAAACGGGUGGUAAUGCCGAAUGUGUCCUUCGGGGGAAAGAUUUAUUCGCCAUUAGAGCGGCCCGCGUCUGAUUAGCUAGUUGGUGAGGUAAUGGCUCACCAAGGCGACGACCAGUAGCUGGUCUGAGAGGAUGACCAGCCACAUUGGGACUGAGACACGGCCCAAACUCCUACGGGAGGCAGCAGGUGGGGAAUCUUGCGCAAGUGGGCGAAAGGCCCUGACGCAGCCAUGCCGCGUGAAUGA
RNAcentral lists this ribosomal RNA (361 nucleotides) under uncultured soil bacterium. RNAcentral describes it as "bacterial SSU rRNA". It matches the Rfam family "Bacterial small subunit ribosomal RNA", at positions 26 to 408 of the family's 1533-position model. The record is from RNAcentral.